GGGUCCGUAGCUCAGUUGGUUAGAGUACUACCUUGACAUGGUAGGGGGGGUCGGCGAUUCGAGUUCGCCCGGACCCA
Molecule: transfer RNA, 77 nt
Filed under: Vibrio sp. JCM 18904
Lineage: Bacteria; Pseudomonadati; Pseudomonadota; Gammaproteobacteria; Vibrionales; Vibrionaceae
Description: tRNA-Val
Source: RNAcentral